UACGUAGGGUGCGAGCGUUGUCCGGAAUUAUUGGGCGUAAAGAGCUCGUAGGCGGUCUGUCGCGUCGAUCGUGAAAACUUGGGGCUUAACCCUGAGCUUGCGGUCGAUACGGGCAUGACUGGAGUUCGGCAGGGGAGACUGGAAUUCCUGGUGUAGCGGUGAAAUGCGCAGAUAUCAGGAGGAACACCAGUGGCGAAGGCGGCUCACUGGCCCGAUACUGACGCUGAGGCACGAAAGCGUGGGGAGCAAACAGG
RNAcentral lists this ribosomal RNA (254 nucleotides) under uncultured bacterium. RNAcentral describes it as "partial 16S ribosomal RNA". It matches the Rfam family "Bacterial small subunit ribosomal RNA", at positions 524 to 776 of the family's 1533-position model. The record is from RNAcentral.